RNAcentral lists this transfer-messenger RNA (350 nucleotides) under Coriobacteriales. RNAcentral describes it as "UBA8131 sp003509825 Standard tmRNA". It matches the Rfam family "transfer-messenger RNA". From Rfam's summary of the family: Bacterial tmRNA, also known as 10Sa RNA or SsrA, is named for its dual tRNA and mRNA-like properties. Its role is to liberate the mRNA from a stalled ribosome. To accomplish this part of the tmRNA is used as a reading frame that ends in a translation stop signal. RNAcentral also lists the same sequence under 1 other name. Lineage: Bacteria; Bacillati; Actinomycetota; Coriobacteriia. The record is from RNAcentral.
GGGGGCGACUGGUUUCGACAUGAUAGUUUUGCGAGAGGAAGCAUGCGGUGGUCUCCUCGCCACCUUAAACAGGGGUACCGUCAAAAAUUAAUUGACAAAAAGCAAUUUGCACUCGCUGCCUAAUAGUGCCGCGACGUCAACUCAGGAUGUUCCCCGCUCCUGACGCGACGCCAUUUUAGGGGAAUGCUCCUGCAGACGUAGACGGUAUGCUGUAGGAAAAGAUCGAACCGACUAGCAAAGGAACGUUUGUCUGUUGAUGUAUCCGGCGCGAAUCCCAACAACGGACUAAGCAUGUAGAAGCUCUCAAGAAGCUGUUAUGGACCGGAGUUCGAUUCUCCGCGCCUCCACCA